GUGCCUAUAUUCUCCAUGCUUUGUUGUUCUGCCUUAGCAUCUUCCAUAAGGUUUCUUUCUGGCUCUGGGGGAUUACCUGAAUGUGAAGCUUAAGUUUAAACUUAUGGAUUGUGAGACUAUAUGAAAUUAAAACAAAACCAACCAAGCACACACAGAAGUGGGAAUCAUACACCUGGGGUAGAAGAAGGUGUUUCAGUCCCUUAUGGCAUUUCCCCAUACCAAGAGGGUUUGUUCUCUCCAGCAGUGAGGCAGCAGCUGCCGUCUCACUACAGAGCAUGACAGAUGGAGAAGAGAAAAACUCUACUCUGUUUUUGGGUAGAAACACAAUCUGACGGUCAUCAGUCUGCCAGUAAAACAGCAACUGGAGCAAUAGCAACCAGUUAUAGAACAUGACCUUCUGGAUUCCCAGCAGCAUCACAUCCUAACUUAAAAGACCUGCACUUUYCUCUCACCACAAAGGUGCUCCCACAGGCUCUGCUGUGCUGGAUAAAACCACUGGAGACCCCUGUGAAAUCUUCCAUCCAUGU
This is a long non-coding RNA of Malurus melanocephalus (red-backed fairy wren), 527 nucleotides long. RefSeq lists it as uncharacterized. The record is from RefSeq and is a predicted model, not a curated record. Lineage: Eukaryota; Metazoa; Chordata; Aves; Passeriformes; Maluridae. The transcript is spliced from 3 exons.